RNAcentral lists this ribosomal RNA (324 nucleotides) under uncultured bacterium. RNAcentral's name for it is "bacterial SSU rRNA". It matches the Rfam family "Bacterial small subunit ribosomal RNA", at positions 72 to 422 of the family's 1533-position model. The record is from RNAcentral.
GUAGCAAUACAUUAGUGGCGCACGGGAGAGUAACGCGUGGGAACCUACCUUUUGGUUUGGGAUAACGUCGGGAAACUGACGCUAAUACCAGAUAAGCCCUCCGGGGGAAAGAUUUAUCGCCGAUAGAUGGGCCCGCGUUAGAUUAGCUAGUUGGUGGGGUAAUGGCCUACCAAGGCGACGAUCUAUAACUGGUCUGAGAGGAUGACCAGUCUCACUGGGACUGAGACACGGCCCAGACUCCUACGGGAGGCAGCAGUGGGGAAUAUUGGACAAUGGGGGAAACCCUGAUCCAGCCAUGCCGCGUGAACGAUGAAGGCCUUCGGG